UUCGAUUCUGGCUCAGGAUGAACGCUGGCGGCGUGCCUAAUACAUGCAAGUGAAACGGGUAUCUUCGGAUACCAGUCGCGGACGGGUGAGUAAUACAUAGGCAACCUGCCUUUAUGAGGGGGAUAACCGAGGGAAACUUUGGCUAAUACCGCAUGAAGACUCUAAGGCAUCUUAGAGGGAUAAAAGUUGGGAAACAACGCAUGAAGAUGGGCUUAUGGCGCAUUAGCUAGUUGGUGAGAUAGAAGCCCACCAAGGUAAUGAUGCGUAGCCGACCUGAGAGGGUGAACGGCCACAUUGGGACUGAGACACGGCCCAAACUCCUACGGGAGGCAGCAGUAGGGAAUUUUCGGCAAUGGGGGGAACCCUGACCGAGCAACGCCCGCGUGAAGGAAGAAGGUUUUCGGAUUGUAAACUUCUGUUAUAAGGGAAGAACGGAUUGGAUAGGGAAUGAUCUGAUAGUGACGGUACCUUAUUAGAAAGCCACGGCUAACUACGUGCCAGCCGCCGC
Molecule: ribosomal RNA, 508 nt
Filed under: uncultured bacterium
Lineage: Bacteria
Description: bacterial SSU rRNA
Rfam family: Bacterial small subunit ribosomal RNA
Source: RNAcentral